UACGUAGGGGGCAAGCGUUGUCCGGAUUUAUUGGGCGUAAAGAGCUCGUAGGCGGUUCGAUAAGUCGGGUGUGAAACCUCCAGGCUCAACCUGGAGACGCCACCCGAUACUGCUGUGACUAGAGUCCGGUAGGGGAGCGUGGAAUUCCUGGUGUAGCGGUGAAAUGCGCAGAUAUCAGGAGGAACACCAGCGGCGAAGGCGGCGCUCUGGGCCGGAACUGACGCUGAGGAGCGAAAGCGUGGGGAGCAAACAGG
Molecule: ribosomal RNA, 254 nt
Filed under: uncultured bacterium
Lineage: Bacteria
Description: partial 16S ribosomal RNA
Rfam family: Bacterial small subunit ribosomal RNA
Source: RNAcentral